This 446-nucleotide ribosomal RNA is filed under the name uncultured bacterium. RNAcentral describes it as "partial 16S ribosomal RNA". It matches the Rfam family "Bacterial small subunit ribosomal RNA", at positions 338 to 795 of the family's 1533-position model. The record is from RNAcentral.
CCUACUGGUGGCAGCAGUAGGGAAUUUUCGGCAAUGGGGGGAACCCUGACCGAGCAACGCCGCGUUAACGAAGAAGUUAUUCGUAAUGUAAAGUUCUUUGAACAGGGAAGAAAGAGAAAUUUGACGGUACCUGAAGAAUAAGAUCCGGCUAACUAGGUGCCAGCAGCAGCGGUAAUACGUAGGGAGCGAGGGUUAUCCGGAAGUAUGGGGCGUAAAGGGUGCGUAGAAGGCAUAGUAAGUCUUUUGUCAAAAGGCUGGGCUCAACCCAGUAGGGCAAAAGAUACUGCAAAGCUAGAGUAUGACAGAGGCAAGUGGAACUACAUGUGUAGCGGUAAAAUGCGUAAAUAUAUGUAAGAACACCAGUGGCGAAGGCGGCUUGCUGGGUCGAUACUGACAUUGAGGCACGAAAGCGUGGGGAGCAAACAGGAUUAGAUACCCCGGUAGUC